CCUUCUUCAGCCCUUCCUCCUUCCUGCUGGCCGAAGCUUAAGCAGCCAUCUUGCACCAUGAAACAGAAGCUAGUGCUGAGGAUGGCAGAGCAACCAGAUGGAAGAAGCUCGAGUUCUAACACUAUGUAAUACCUUGGCAAGAAUGUCACCAUGUUCGUCAGGACUAUUGUUUUUGAGGAUUGUUUGGACACUUCUCCCUGAAAGGGGUUUUCUUCUGAGGCUGAAAGCACCAAGCAGUGAGGCCUUAACAGUCAGAUUUUCCAUAAGGCUGAAAGGAACGAACGUUCAAAGAAAACAUGAUUUCCUCGAUGAGAAAACUGGACGUCAAGAGGUGAACACCUCGCCAAAGUUACAAGAUUGUGAGUGACAGAGGCAGAACUUGAAUCCAGCUCUGGCUACAGCCUGAGCCUCCACCCUCUUGUUAUCUGCUGCCACCCUCAUACGUACAAGCUGUCCAUGAAGACUGAUGCCAAGGCAGUUAGCCUGAACAUCAUGCUCUGGGGAGCCAAAGGCUUAAAUUGUUAACUCCAAAGCAGGUAACAUGAAGAAAAUUCCAUUUGGAGAAUGAGGACUAUGAUGUCCACCGAAUGUCUAUUCUGUGCUGUGUGGUACUAGGAAUAGAGAAGUUAACAAAAUGUGGCUCCUGCAUCAAAACACAGUAACAUGGGACUACUGCAUCUGUGACACCGGGCAAAUGAAGGUUCUGCGUCUUGACUCUGCAUUUACUAUGAAUCACUUAAGGAUUAAUAACCCACAAUGGACCCCCUCUUUGUCUAACCUGCUAAAGUGAGUUCCUUCUUACCGUAUGAGGAAUUCAUGAGUAACAUCAUCAAAAGACAGCAUAAGAAUGCAAAUAUUUGGUUCCUUUAAAGGCUCAUUUCCAAGUUUUUUUCCCCAAACAUUUACCCCAAGUAUGUAUCUCUCUCCUCCCAUCUUCCCAACUGGAGUAGCCUUGUGCUGAAAUCAGCAUUAAAAAUACAAAUUCUUCCUUAGGCAGAAUCCAUACUCCACUCUCUGUGGAGAAUUCUAGAAGAUGAGAGACAAAGUGGUAGAACUAACCAUAUAGAGCACCUGAUCUGUCCUUUCUUUUAAAAAUGGAAUAACUAAGACUCUGAGAAGCUAAGUAGCUUGUCCAUGGUCAGAGGGAAAUAAACAACAAACCCAAGAUUUACAGGCCAUUUUUCCUCCUACAACCCUGCAGUGCAUGCCAAGUCCAGUGCGUUGGUCAGAGAAGUUUCUGAUAAGAGCUCUGGCUCAUCACUUUGCACAAUGCUCAGAACAAAGCAGAUUCUUGGUGAAAGUUGGUUAAGUAAAUACAUGUGAGGGGACUCUCAGCUUCUGGUCUACCCCUCAUUACCUCCCCGCUAGGCCAGUCCUGCACUGCAUCUUCCCUUCCUUCCUGAACUACAUUGCCCAACAAUGCUAAUACCACUCUUGUCUGAGCAGCAAUAGCGGGGACGGCAUCUCUGGAAAUACGUUUAUUACCCAGGCAGAGAUGGAGACCACUCAGAACUUUUUAGUCAGUACAUUAACCAGGGUAUAUUUUACUAGUGAACCCCCGGAUGUGUCACAUAGAGCUGAAGUAAGGAUGUUUUAGUAGUAGGGGUCAGUGACAAAUCCAGGGCCUAGAGGGUAGAGAGAAGUGAAAGAAUACAAAAGCUAGAGAAAAUCAGUGAAUAAACAGACUUGCUCAAGGUCACACAACUAGUUGGUACCAGAGUGGGGACUUGAACUCUGGCAUUGAGAUUUCUCUGGAAGCUCCACACAGUGCUACUCUCGCAAUAGACCAGAAGCCACUGUGCCUAGUUUGAGGUGUUACAGAGGAGUAAAGGAUGGCGCACAAGCCUAAAGGACAGGGACAAAAGAGGAUGCAUAUCAUCAAUAGAAAUGUCUAUGGAGAACCCACUUAUUGUGAGUUAGACACUUGUUAUAAACCGAAUUGCAUUUGUCCCCCUCAAACAUUCAUAUUGAAACGCUAACCCCCAGUGUGACUGUGUUUGGAGACAGGGCCUUGAGGAGACAAUUAAGAUUAAAUGGGGUCACAAGUAUGGGGCCCUAAUCCAAUAGGGCUGGUGUCCUUAUAAGAAGAAGAUGCAACAGGAGCAUGUGUGAAAAGAGGAAAACCAUAGGAGGACACAACAAGAAGGUGGCCAUCUGCAGGCCAAAGAGAGACCUCAGGAGAAACCAAACCUGUUCACACAUUGAUCUUGAACUUCAAACUUCCAGGACUGUGAGAAAAUAAAUUUCUGUUAUUUAAGCCACCCAGUCUGUGGCGUUUUGUUAUGGCAGCUUGACCUAAUACAAGAAAGAUGGCCAAAGUGAAGGGGCUGCUGAAGACUACCUCAGUUUUAUUCUGUUCCAAGCUUACCCAGGCCCAGGGAGAAGAUGGGGAACUGAUGCACAACUGAAACUUAACCAGGUAUUUUCAAGUUAACCAGGUCCAUGUUAAAACAAAAAGCAAAAAGACAUAAAUAGCGGUUAAAGUUGUAGACAGCCAUGAACAAUUUCUCUUUUUUUCCUGUGACUUAUCUGUCUGUACAUCCUUUAAUUGCCUUGUUUCGUUGGUA
Zalophus californianus (California sea lion) is the source of this 2567-nucleotide long non-coding RNA. RefSeq lists it as uncharacterized. The transcript has 5 exons. The record is from RefSeq and is a predicted model, not a curated record. Lineage: Eukaryota; Metazoa; Chordata; Mammalia; Carnivora; Otariidae.